CCUACGGGUCGCACCAGUGGGGAAUAUUGCACAAUGGGCGCAAGCCUGAUGCAGCCAUGCCGCGUGUAUGAAGAAGGCCUUCGGGUUGUAAAGUACUUUCAGCGAGGAGGAAGGCAUCAAGGUUAAUAACCUUGGUGAUUGACGUUACUCGCAGAAGAAGCACCGGCUAACUCCGUGCCAGCAGCCGCGGUAAUACGGAGGGUGCAAGCGUUAAUCGGAAUUACUGGGCGUAAGCGCACGCAGGCGGUCUGUCAAGUCGGAUGUGAAAUCCCCGGGCUCAACCUGGGAGCUGCAUUCGAAACUGGCAGGCUAGAGUCUUGUAGAGGGGGUUAGAAUUCCAGGUGUAGCGGUGAAAUGCGUAGAGAUCUGGAGGAAUACCGGUGGCGAAGGCGGCCCCCUGGACAAAGACUGACGCUCAGGUGCGAAAGCGUGGGGAGCAAACAGGAUUAGAUACCCCCGUAGUC
RNAcentral lists this ribosomal RNA (464 nucleotides) under uncultured bacterium. Its description in RNAcentral is "bacterial SSU rRNA". It matches the Rfam family "Bacterial small subunit ribosomal RNA", at positions 338 to 795 of the family's 1533-position model. The record is from RNAcentral.